Molecule: ribosomal RNA, 580 nt
Filed under: Asaia lannensis
Lineage: Bacteria; Pseudomonadati; Pseudomonadota; Alphaproteobacteria; Acetobacterales; Acetobacteraceae
Description: bacterial SSU rRNA
Rfam family: Bacterial small subunit ribosomal RNA
Source: RNAcentral
CAGUCGCACGGACCCUUCGGGGUGAGUGGCGGACGGGUGAGUAACGCGUAGGGAUCUAUCCAUGGGUGGGGGAUAACACCGGGAAACUGGUGCUAAUACCGCAUGAUACCUGAGGGUCAAAGGCGCAAGUCGCCUGUGGAGGAGCCUGCGUUCGAUUAGCUUGUUGGUGGGGUAAAGGCCUACCAAGGCGAUGAUCGAUAGCUGGUCUGAGAGGAUGAUCAGCCACACUGGGACUGAGACACGGCCCAGACUCCUACGGGAGGCAGCAGUGGGGAAUAUUGGACAAUGGGCGAAAGCCUGAUCCAGCAAUGCCGCGUGUGUGAAGAAGGUCUUCGGAUUGUAAAGCACUUUCGACGGGGACGAUGAUGACGGUACCCGUAGAAGAAGCCCCGGCUAACUUCGUGCCAGCAGCCGCGGUAAUACGAAGGGGGCUAGCGUUGCUCGGAAUGACUGGGCGUAAAGGGCGCGUAGGCGGUUUACACAGUCAGAUGUGAAAUUCCAGGGCUUAACCUUGGGGCUGCAUUUGAUACGUGUAGACUAGAGUGUGAGAGAGGGUUGUGGAAUUCCCAGUGUAGCGGUG